Molecule: long non-coding RNA, 2596 nt
Organism: Triticum dicoccoides
Lineage: Eukaryota; Viridiplantae; Streptophyta; Magnoliopsida; Poales; Poaceae
Exons: 9
Source: RefSeq, a predicted model, not a curated record
CGCCUCCCCUUCCAGGCUUCCACCAUCGCCGCCGCCCCCUCCCCUUCCACCAUGGCCGCCGCCCCCUCCCCUUCCACCGUGGCCGCCGCCCCCUAUCGCCCGACGGCGAGCCCGCCCUCCCGUCCCCCUCUCCUCUGGUCGCCCUCACACACUACAUUGCCUCCUGGUCGUCCUCUCUCUCCCUCUCUCUGUGUGUGUGUGUAUUCCCCCCUGCCGUCACCACCACGGCCAACUCCGGCGAGGUCCGCCGCCAUACAGCACAUCCACGAGCUCAUCUCGUCACACUGCUCCUUCUCCACCGCGUUGACCUGACGUGCCUCCCCUCUAAGCGCGGCCCCGGCUAACCCUAGCGCUACGGUCGCCGGUCCACAGCGUCGCCAUCAACGCCCGCGCUGCGCCUGCACCUCCGGUUGGUCCUCCCCGACCCCGUCCGAACUUUCGCGCACUGCAUCGCCUCCUGGCCACUGUCCAGGCGUCGCCAUCGACUGGAGGAGCGCGGGACCGUCGUCCUCGCGUUCGUGCACCUCCAGGAAGAAGACUUCUCGAGGUGAGGCGCCUCAGAUCCGUCGUGCGAAGGUGGAGCAGCUCCAGAGGGACGUACGUCAAGGUAGCCACUGCUCCGUAGAAGAUCUGAGUUCAAAAAGAUUGCAUGACACCACAUCCUGGGUUUGGUGGGCGAGCUCACUGUCGUCCGCCUCGAGCUGGUCUGGAGUCUGAGUACGGCCCUUGAUUUGUGCCGUCCGUUUUCUCUGCCGAAGUCGUGGUUCCGUGGACGCGGCUAUGGUCGAAGGGUCUCACCAGCGUGGCACCGGCGCCUCCCUUCCCUCUCCCCUGGAGCUGGAAGAAAUUGCAGUUGAUGGAAUUAAAACUUGGAUGUGAUCAAAUUAGGUAUUGCUUGAGCUGAAAGUUGGAUCAGAAGGACGGCCUGUCGUCAAGUAGGACAGCAGAAUCGUAGAACUCUACAAAGUGUAUGGGUUGGCCAGCUCUUGAGCAAAUUCGUCAUAGCGACCGCCGAUGGCCUACAAGUCCAUCUCUUUCUCAAGCUCGAUUGCCUCUUAUUUUGCAGACUGAAAGAUGAGAUGAGGGGUAGUAGUACUUACUGAGAAUUCCUUCAAUUGGUUAAUUGAUGUGCAUCUCCAAGAAGCAUACAGGUUAGCUUAUGCAAAGAUUUUCCUUCUUAUGUCCAGAGGUUCUUGAGACAUGGCGCAAUGCCGAUGUGAUGUGCUUCGAUAUGAAUGGUAAUAAAUGUUUGGGUGAGGGUAGUGAUGAGCUUGCUGGUUUCUGUGCGGCUGGGCAGGCAGUUGAUGAGUGGACGCGAGUGGACAACGAAGUAGUGUCACAUUUUCUGUAGUAUGUUAGUGUUCAUCAUAUAUAAUAUCUUAAGAACUAAACUUGGUCUAUUGUUUUCAGGGCAAUGACAGGGACCGUUCCAUUUAAGAGGCUCCUGCUGCCUGGAUUUUGUUAAGCAAGCCUACAUUAAGUUAAUUCAAGAAGUUAAUCACUAAUUAGUUGUUGUAUUUUCAUUCCUACAUGGAUCUUUUGACAUUCCACAACUUUCUUAUUCUUACUUGGGAUCAUUUGAUAUGUGUCGUUGAACAUAACAGAGCGCUCUUAGGAAUCCCUAGCUGAUUUAACUCGGUUUCUCUAUUUACACCAAUAUGAAAGGUAUUAGCUGCAUUAUAUAGAAAAUUGGUUUGGUACCGCACGAAAAAAAAACCAUUUUGGGAUAAUACCACCAUAUAGACUAGGUUCAUUUUAAUACCACUAAAUGAGAUAAAAAUACUACCUGCUUAUACCAGUCGUGUCUCCACUUGUCUCCACUAUUAGGAGUUAGGACGAUAUGUGGUCAAAUUUGCAUGUCCUUGAAAAUAUUUACAUUUUGAUAUAUGUUAUAUUUGGAUGUCACCAAGAUUUAGGUUUAGAAUAUCUAAGAUUUCCAUCUAUGUUUUUUGUUAGAACAGUAAACAAGGAUAUGUUUCUUCUCUCGGAUCUAGAAACCAUGAUUCCUCUUUUCUUGACUUGUGAUGAUUUUUUUAUAUAAAUUUCUUUUAGUAGUGACCGAGCUUCUGAAAUGAAUAAUUUUGGCAAAAAUCUCAAUUCGAUAUUCCGUUCUGCGGCUCAAAGGUUGAAGACUACCGUCGGGAACUGCCCAGUUAAGUCUACCAGGAUUCCACAUGCUAACCUCGGCAAGCACAAACCGCAUGUUCUUCUUCCUCUCUGGCCGCCUCCACACCAUUAUGGAUGUCACAGACCUCAUCCUCCAGAAGCUCCUCUACCAGGUGGCAGCUAGCAGCGUCGGAAGCUCGAGGCUCUGGUUCCCCUUCCAGCAGUGCGGGGCUGCCAUCCCGAAGUAGCAUCAUCUCCCCGCUGCUCUACAUCUAGAUCAUGGGACCAUCAACUCCCCGUCCAUACCACAACUUUCUCAAGUUGGUACUAUUUUGAUUUGUGAUCCGGUCUAUAAAAGGGGGAUCAAAGAAUAAACCAAUUGGCCAGACUUUGUUGAGGCGGCAGUGAUGAAAGAAUAUCAGAUACGUGUCUUCGCCUUCAAGAUUAAAAGGGGAAACCAUCGCUCACUGUCCAUACGCUUUAAAAGGCU